GCUGGUGAAAAUGAUGACUUUACUUUUUUCCCCAUCUAAUCGACCAUGUUGAUGUCUUUGAAUACUUGCCAGUUGGUUCUGAUACACCGGC
Small nucleolar RNA from Myotis lucifugus (little brown bat), 91 nucleotides. Ensembl annotates it as small nucleolar SNORD12/SNORD106. Its record names the gene SNORD12C. The record is from Ensembl. NCBI's taxonomy places the organism in Eukaryota, Metazoa, Chordata, Mammalia, Chiroptera, Vespertilionidae.